GAAUUAGCGCUAACCAUUGGUUAAAAUUUAACCUGCUGUUAAAACAGCAGGUUAAAUUUUAACCAAUGGUUAGCGCUAAUUC
Non-coding RNA from Paramuricea clavata, 82 nucleotides. NCBI's taxonomy places the organism in Eukaryota, Metazoa, Cnidaria, Anthozoa, Malacalcyonacea, Plexauridae. The record is from the annotation of a GenBank genome assembly.